ACGGAAGGCAGCAGUGGGGAAUAUUGGACAAUGGGGGAAACCCCGAUCCAGCGACGCCGCGUGAGUGAAGAAGUAUUUCGGUAUGUAAAGCUCUAUCAGCAAGGAAGAAAAUGACGGUACUUGACUAAGAAGCUCCGGCUAAAUACGUGCCAGCAGCCGCGGUAAUACGUAUGGAGCAAGCGUUAUCCGGAUUUACUGGGUGUAAAGGGAGCGUAGACGGCAAAGCAAGUCUGAAGUGAAAUCCCGGGGCUCAACCCCGGAACUGCUUUGGAAACUGUUUAGCUAGAGUGCAGGAGAGGUAAGCGGAAUUCCUAGUGUAGCGGUGAAAUGCGUAGAUAUUAGGAGGAACACCAGUGGCGAAGGCGGCUUACUGGACUGUAACUGACGUUGAGGCUCGAAAGCGUGGGGAGCAAACAGGAUUAGAUACCCUGGUA
RNAcentral lists this ribosomal RNA (434 nucleotides) under uncultured Lachnospiraceae bacterium. Its description in RNAcentral is "partial 16S ribosomal RNA". It matches the Rfam family "Bacterial small subunit ribosomal RNA", at positions 341 to 792 of the family's 1533-position model. Lineage: Bacteria; Bacillati; Bacillota; Clostridia; Lachnospirales; Lachnospiraceae. The record is from RNAcentral.